CCCAGACUCCUACGGGAGGCAGCAGUGGGGGAUAUUGCACAAUGGGGGGAACCCUGAUGCAGCGACGCCGCGUGGGUGAAGGAGCGUUUCGGCGCGUAAAGCCCUAUCGGCAGGGAAGAAGGAGGACGGUACCUGACUAAGAAGCCCCGGCUAACUACGUGCCAGCAGCCGCGGUAAUACGUAGGGGGCAAGCGUUAUCCGGAUUUACUGGGUGUAAAGGGGGCGCAGACGGCAGCGCAAGCCAGGAGUGAAAGCCCGGGGCCCAACCCCGGGACUGCUCUUGGAACUGCGCGGCUGGAGUGCAGGAGGGGCAGGCGGAAUUCCUGGUGUAGCGGUGAAAUGCGUAGAUAUCAGGAGGAACACCGGUGGCGAAGGCGGCCUGCUGGACUGCGACUGACGUUGAGGCCCGAAAGCGUGGGGAGCAAACAGGAUUAGAUACCCCAGUACG
RNAcentral lists this ribosomal RNA (448 nucleotides) under uncultured bacterium. RNAcentral's name for it is "partial 16S ribosomal RNA". It matches the Rfam family "Bacterial small subunit ribosomal RNA", at positions 330 to 793 of the family's 1533-position model. The record is from RNAcentral.